Molecule: ribosomal RNA, 478 nt
Filed under: uncultured bacterium
Lineage: Bacteria
Description: partial 16S ribosomal RNA
Rfam family: Bacterial small subunit ribosomal RNA
Source: RNAcentral
GACGAACGCUGGCGGCGUGCUUAACACAUGCAAGUCGAACGGUAAGGCCCUUCGGGGUACACGAGUGGCGAACGGGUGAGUAACACGUGGGUGAUCUGCCCUGCACUUUGGGAUAAGCCUGGGAAACUGGGUCUAAUACCGGAUAGGACCAUGGACUUCACGGUUUGUGGUGGAAAGCUUUUGCGGUGUGGGAUGGGCCCGCGGCCUAUCAGCUUGUUGGUGGGGUAAUGGCCUACCAAGGCGACGACGGGUAGCCGGCCUGAGAGGGUGUCCGGCCACACUGGGACUGAGAUACGGCCCAGACUCCUACGGGAGGCAGCAGUGGGGAAUAUUGCACAAUGGGCGCAAGCCUGAUGCAGCGACGCCGCGUGGGGGAUGACGGCCUUCGGGUUGUAAACCUCUCUCAGUGGGGACGAAGCGCAAGUGACGGUACCUACAGAAGAAGCACCGGCCAACAACGUGCCAGCAGCCGCCGCCG